This 1048-nucleotide ribosomal RNA is filed under the name Psychroflexus sp. COL-60. RNAcentral's name for it is "bacterial SSU rRNA". It matches the Rfam family "Bacterial small subunit ribosomal RNA", at positions 51 to 1099 of the family's 1533-position model. The record is from RNAcentral. Lineage: Bacteria; Pseudomonadati; Bacteroidota; Flavobacteriia; Flavobacteriales; Flavobacteriaceae.
ACACAUGCAAGUCGAGGGGUAACAUUGUAGCUUGCUACAGAUGACGACCGGCGCACGGGUGCGUAACGCGUAUACAAUCUACCUAUUACUAAGAGAUAGCCCAGAGAAAUUUGGAUUAAUAUUUUAUAGUAUUAUCGAUUGGCAUCAAUUGAUAAUUAAAGAUUACGGUAAUAGAUGAGUAUGCGUCCUAUUAGCUUGAUGGUAAGGUAACGGCUUACCAUGGCUACGAUAGGUAGGGGUCCUGAGAGGGAGAUCCCCCACACUGGUACUGAGACACGGACCAGACUCCUACGGGAGGCAGCAGUGAGGAAUAUUGGACAAUGGGAGCAAUCCUGAUCCAGCCAUGCCGCGUGCAGGAAGACUGCCCUAUGGGUUGUAAACUGCUUUUAUACAGGAAGAAAAAGGUUCACGUGUGAACUGUUGACGGUACUGUAGGAAUAAGGAUCGGCUAACUCCGUGCCAGCAGCCGCGGUAAUACGGAGGAUCCAAGCGUUAUCCGGAAUCAUUGGGUUUAAAGGGUCCGUAGGCGGGACAAUCAGUCAGUGGUGAAAGUUUGCGGCUCAACCGUAAAAUUGCCAUUGAUACUGUUGUUCUUGAGUGCUUGUGAAGUGGUUAGAAUGAGUAGUGUAGCGGUGAAAUGCAUAGAUAUUACUCAGAAUACCGAUUGCGAAGGCAGAUCACUAACAAUUCACUGACGCUGAUGGACGAAAGCGUAGGUAGCGAACAGGAUUAGAUACCCUGGUAGUCUACGCCGUAAACGAUGGUUACUAGCUGUUCGGACUAAUUGCGGUCUGAGUGGCUAAGCGAAAGUGAUAAGUAACCCACCUGGGGAGUACGUUCGCAAGAAUGAAACUCAAAGGAAUUGACGGGGGCCCGCACAAGCGGUGGAGCAUGUGGUUUAAUUCGAUGAUACGCGAGGAACCUUACCAGGGCUUAAAUGCAGUUUGACAGGGGUGGAAACAUCUUUUUCUUCGGACAAAUUGCAAGUGCUGCAUGGUUGUCGUCAGCUCGUGCCGUGAGGUGUCAGGUUAAGUCCUAUAACGAGCGC